UCCCAGGUCUCGUCUUUCUUCCCUCUAUCUGUGAACUUAAGCCGGAUCUUUUGCCAAACCCUAGUGGUUUCUAUUAGAUCUCCUCCCUUAGCCUUCCACUCUCGCGAACGGGUCUGCU
This is a long non-coding RNA of Dipodomys spectabilis (banner-tailed kangaroo rat), 118 nucleotides long. RefSeq lists it as uncharacterized. NCBI's taxonomy places the organism in Eukaryota, Metazoa, Chordata, Mammalia, Rodentia, Heteromyidae. The record is from RefSeq and is a predicted model, not a curated record. The transcript has 3 exons.